AUAAAUGAGUAUUCUUUAAGAAUUUUUCAUCAAUAUGUUGUAUUUUAAAAUAAUUUUCUUAAAAGCUGCUUUUUUGGAAAGUUUUCAUUUUUUUUGAGAAAUACUGUAGAUUUAGGUUUUUGAUUUAGAAAUUAUUAUAACAAGAAUAUUUGUGGAUAUAUGAGUAUUCUUUAAGAAUUUUUCAUCAGUAUAUUGUAUUUUUAAAUAAUUUUCUUAAAAGUGGCUAUUUUUGGAAAGUUUUCAUUUUUUUUAACGAUAUUUUAUAGAUUUGAGUUUGUGAUUUAGAAAUUAGGAUCACAAGAAUAUUUGUGGAUAGUUGAGUAUUCUUUCAAAGUUUUCUAUCAAUAGGUUGUAUUUUUAAAUAAUUUUCUUAAAAACUGCUAUUUUAGGAAAGUUUUCAUUUUUUAGAGAAAUAUUGUGGAUAUAGGUUUGUGAUUUAGAAAUUAGGACAACAAGAAUAUUUGUGGAUAGAUGAGUAUUCUUUAAGAAUUUUUCAUCAAUAUAUUGUAUUUUUAAAUAAUUUUCUUAAAAACUGCUAUUUUAGGAAAGUUUUCAUUUUUUAGAGAAAUAUUGUGGAUAUAGGUUUGUGAUUUAGAAAUUAGGACAACAAGAAUAUUUGUGGAUAGAUGAGUAUUCUUUAAGAAUUUUUCAUCAAUAUAUUGUAUUUUUAAAUAAUUUUCUUAAAAACUGCUAUUUUAGGAAAGUUUUCAUUUUUUAGAGAAAUAUUGUGGAUAUAGGUUUGUGAUUUAGAAAUUAGGACAACAAGAAUAUUUGUGGAUAGAUGAGUAUUCUUUAAGAAUUUUUCAUCAAUAUAUUGUAUUUUUAAAUAAUUUUCUUAAAAACUGCUAUUUUAGGAAAGUUUUCAUUUUUUAGAGAAAUAUUGUGGAUAUAGGUUUGUGAUUUAGAAAUUAGGACAACAAGAAUAUUUGUGGAUAGAUGAGUAUUCUUUAAGAAUUUUUCAUCAAUAUAUUGUAUUUUUAAAUAAUUUUCUUAAAAACUGCUAUUUUAGGAAAGUUUUCAUUUUUUAGAGAAAUAUUGUGGAUAUAGGUUUGUGAUUUAGAAAUUAGGACAACAAGAAUAUUUGUGGAUAGAUGAGUAUUCUUUAAGAAUUUUUCAUCAAUAUAUUGUAUUUUUAAAUAAUUUUCUUAAAAACUGCUAUUUUAGGAAAGUUUUCAUUUUUUAGAGAAAUAUUGUGGAUAUAGGUUUGUGAUUUAGAAAUUAGGACAACAAGAAUAUUUGUGGAUAGAUGAGUAUUCUUUCAGAAUUUUUCCUCAAGAUGUUGUUUUAUUAAAUAAUUUUUUUAAAAGCUCCUAUUUUUGGAAAGUUUUCAUUUUUAAGAAAAAUAUUGUAGGUUUUUGUUUUUGAUUUAGAAAUUAGUAUAAUAAGAAUAUUUGUGGAUAGACAAGUAUUCUUUAAAAAAAUUUCAUCAAUAUAUUGUAUUUUUAAAUAAUUUUCUUAAAAGCUCCUAUUUUUAGAAAGUUUUCAUUUUUUAGAGAAAUAUUGUAGAUUUGAGUUUGUGAUUUAGAAAUUAGGAUAAGAAGAAUAUUUGUGGAUAUAUGAGUAUUCUUUAAGAAUUUUUUAUCAGUAUAUUGUAUUUUUAAAUAAUUUUCUUAAAAGUGGCUAUUUUUGGAAAGUUUUCAUUUUUUUUAACGAUAUUUUAUAGAUUUGAGUUUGUGAUUUAGAAAUUAGGAUCACAAGAAUAUUUGUGGAUAGAUGAGUAUUCUUUCAGAUUUUUUCAUCAAUAUAUUGUAUUUUAAAAUAAUUUUCUUAAAAGAUACUAUUUUUGGAAAGUUUUCUUUUUUUAGAGAAAUACUGUGGAUAUAGGUUUGUGAUUUAUAAAUUAGGACACCAAGAAUAUUUGUGGAUAGAUGAAUAUUCUGUAAGAAAUUUUCAUCAAUAUGUUGUAUUUUAAAAUAAUUUUCUUAAAAAUUGCUAUUUUUGGAAAGUUUUCAUUUUUUUAAAAAUAAUAGGUUGUAUUUUUAAAUAUUUUUAUUAAAAACUACUAUUUUUGGGACGUUUUCAUUUAUUAGAGAAAUACUGUAGAUUUGAGUUGAUGAUUUAGAAGUUAGGAUAACAAGAAUAUUUGUGGAUACAUACGUGGAACCAAGCUCCUUUUCUUGACCACUUGCCAUCCACAGACUGAGGAUAACAAGAAUAUUUGUGGAUACAUGAGUAUUCUUUCAGAAUUUUUCAUUAAGAUGUUGUAUUAUUAAAUAAUUUUCUAAAAAGCUGCUAUUUUUGGAAAGUUUUCAUUUUUAAGAGAAGUAUUGUAGAUUUGAGUUUGUGAUUAAGAAAUUAUGAUAACAAGAAUAUUUGUGGAUAGAUAUGUAUUCUUUCAAAAAAUUUCAUCAAUAUGUUGUAUUUUAAAAUAAUUUUCUUAAAAGCUCCUAUUUUUGUAAAGUUUUCAUUUUUUUUUGAGAAAUACUAUAGAUUUGAGUUUGUGAUUUAGAAAUUAGGAUAACAAAAAUAUUUGUGGAUAUAUGAGUAUUCUUUCAUAAUUUUUCAUCCAUAUGUUGUAUUAUUAAAUAAUUUUCUUAAAAGCUGCUAUUUUUGGAAAGUUAAAGGGGCGCACAGAAGUUAUCUUCCAACCAGGCGACUGGGUGUGGCUGAGAAGUAUUGUAGAUUUGAGUUUGUGAUUUAGAAAUUGUUACAACAAGAAUAUUUGUGGAUAGAUAAGUAUUCUUUCAUAAUUUUUCAUCAAUAUAUUGUAUUUUUAAAUAAUUUUCGUAAAAGCUGCUAUUUUUGGAAAGUUUUCAUUUUUUUAAGAAAUACUGUGGAUUUAGGUUUGUGAUUUAGAAAUUAGGACAACAAGAAUAUUUGUGGAUAGAUGAGUAUUCUUUAAGAAUUUUUCAUCAAUAAAUACAUUGUAUUAUUAAAUAAUUUUCUGAAAUUUUUUUAUUUUUGGAAAGUUUUCAUUUUUUUUUUAAAUACUGUAGAUUUUGGUUUGUGAUUUAGAAAUUAGGAUAACAAAAAUAUAUGUGGAUAGAUGAGUAUUCUUUCAGAUUUUUUCAUCAAUAUAUUGUAUUUUUAAAUAAUUUUCUUAAAAGCUGCUUUUUUUGGAAAGUUUUCAUUUUUUUUGAGAAAUACUGUAGAUUUAGGUUUUUGAUUUAGAAAUUAUUAUAACAAGAAUAUUUGUGGAUAUAUGAGUAUUCUUUAAGAAUUUUUCAUCAGUAUAUUGUGGAUAUAGGUUUGUGAUUUAGAAAUUAGGACACCAAGAAUAUUUGUGGAUAGAUGAGUAUUCUUUAAGAGUGUUCCUUUAAUAGGUUGUAUUUUUAAAUAUUUUUAUUAAAAACUGCAAUUUUUGGGAAGUUUUCAUUUAUUAGAGAAAUACUGUAGAUUUGAGUUGAUGAUUUAGAAGUUAAGAUAACAAGAAUAUUUGUGGAUAGAUGAGUAUUCUUUAAGAAUUUUUCAUCAAUGUGUUGUAUUUUAAAAUAAUUUUCUUAAAAGCUGCAAUUUUUGGAAAGUUUUCAUUUGAAAACUCACUAAAGGUUCCUAUCUGUUUCAGGAUCGAUCACAAGCAAGAGACGAGCCGGCCGGUACCAUCCAUCCGAGGCAAGGUUGAACCGCAGAAUGGCCAUCCGUCCGUCCAUCCGUUCGACCCUCCGACCCGUGCCUACAACAAUUCCUCUAUCAUCUGGGCAUCUUGUUUUGAUCCAUCUUAGGUUCUGAUGUGGAAUGUUUGGCGGAAAUGACUAGGAAGUACAAAAUAUUAUUGGUUAUGGGUGUGAUAGAGAGGGAAGGCUAUACGUUACAUUGCACCGUCUUUUUUUUUACUGACAAGGUCAAUUUUUUGGUAAUCACAUGAAACUCAUGCCUACAACUCUUGAACGUUGCAUCGGGGGUUUGAAGUAGACGUCGUGAAGCGGUGGAUGUUUCACUUUGGAGAUUCAAAGGAGACAAAUUCAAAAACACGUUUAUUACAAAAGAAAUAUACAAUAUGCUGAGGCAAGAGGAUGAGCAGCUAGAAUGGGCGAAGGAUAUUUGGUUUUCACAUAGAACACCAAAAUAUACUUUUCUCACUUGGCUACCAAUGAAAAAUAGGCUUUCCACUGGUGAUCGCAUUGAAAGUUGGCAAACAGGACAGAGAGUGGAUUGUGUUCUGUGUGGUCAUCGCUGCAAUUUUUGGAAAGUUUUCAUUUUUUUAGAGAUAUUUUAUAGAUUUGUGUUUGUGAAUUAGAAAUUAGGAUAACAAGAAAAUAAAAACGCUUAUACCUUCAAAUGAAAUAAUCAAAUAUAGAAUUAAAAUCAAAGCUCGAAAUUUUGAAAAUAAAAAUAAAAAACAAAAGAGAAGUAUGAAAGAAAAUGUUUCCACUCUUCCAUAUUCAGUGUUCAUCAAAGUCAUGCAUCGUCGAGAAAUAUUGUAGAUUUGAGUUUGUGAUUAAGAAAUUAGGAUAAGAAGAAUAUUUGUGGAUAGAUGAGUAUUCUUUCUGUGUGGUCAUCCUCAGGAAACACACAAUCACUUGUUCUUUGAAUGUGGGUACUCUUCAAGUUUAUGGCAUUCACUAAUGUUUGUGUUCCUGUGCAGUAAUGGUAUGGGAUGAGCUUCUCCCGCUUCUGCAUUUCAGGGAGUAUAAUAGUCUGCAACUUUUGAUACUUAGUUAUACCUUCCAAGCGACUAUAUAUCAUCUUUGGCGGGAAAGAAAUAAUAGGAGGCAUGGGGAGAAAGCAAUGCCAUGGACUCGAUUAGCUCUUCUUGUUGACAAGACAAUUCAGAACAAGCUAACUACUCUUCGUGAGCAAGAGCAGGUGAAGUAUGAAGGCGGCCUCAGGUUGUGGUUUGCAACUCGUCAAGUUUAACAGUAAUUUUCUUUAAAACUUUGAUUUUUGGAAAGUUUUCAUUUUUUUUUUGAAAUACUGUAAAUUUGGUUGUGAUUUAGAAAUUAGGAAAAUAAGAAUAUUUGUGGAUAGAUGAGUAUUCUUUAAGAAUUUUUCAUCAACAUGUUGUAUUUUAAAAUAAUUUUCUUAAAAGCUGCUAUUUUUUUUAAGUUUUCAUUUUUUUUUUGAGAAAUACUGUAGAUUUGAGUUUGUGAUUUAGAAAUUAGGAUAACAAAAAUAUUUGUGGAUAACAAAAUUCUUUCAGAAUUUUUCAUCAAGAUGUUGUAUUAUUAAAUAAUUUUCUUAAAAGAUGCUAUUUUUGGAAAGUUUUCUUUUUUAAGAGAAAUAUUGUAGAUUUGAGUUUGUGAUUUAGAAAUUAGGAUAACAAGAAUAUUUGUGGAUAGAUAAGUAUUAUUUCAUAAUUUUUCAUCAACAUAUUGUAUUUCUAAAUAAUUUUCUUAAAAAGUGCUAUUUUUGGAAAUUUUUCAUUUUUUUGAGAAAUACUGUGGAUUUAGGUUUAUGAUUUAGAAACUAGGACAACAAGAAUAUUUGUGGAUAGAUGAGUAUUCUUUAAGAAUUUUUGGUAACAAAAUGUUUAGAUUUGAUUUGAUCGUUUGAUAGAGAAUAUCAUGUUGUAAACAGAAGUAUUUUGGUUUUGAAUUAAUUUAACAUUUAUUCAAAAAAAAGUUAUAUAAAUUCUUAUGAAUGGUAUAAAACUCCCUUAUAAAUGGUAAAUAAACAUUUAUAAAUAAUUUAUAAACUCUUAUAAAUUAUUUACAAGUCCUUACAAAUGAUUUAUAAACUUUUAUAAAUAAUUUACAAACUACUCUUAAAUGAUUCAUAGACCCUUAUAAAUGAUUUAUUAACCAUUACAAAUGAUUUAUAAGUUUCUAUAAACGAUCCACAAACCCUUAUAAAUGAUUUAUAGAGCUUUAAAAAUAAUUUAUGAACCAUAUAAAUAGUUUGUAUAAUAUUAUAAAUUGUUUAUAUAAUUUUAUAAAUGAUUUAUAAACCUUUAAAUAUAGGCUCUAAUCGGUAAUCAUUAAAAUCUAAAUAAAAAAGAGUAAGAAAAUAAUGAAUAGAAACAAAAUAAAAGGAAUGAAAAAAAUAUUUAUUAUUUUUGUUCCAUAUCAAUUUUGAUGCCAAAUGUUUUUGUUCUAUAGUUCCUUAAAAUUUAAGGAGUGACGAAGAAUUAGACACAACAAAAGUUCUUCAAAAAUGGUGUAACUCUUAAAGAACGAGUAGGAAUGAUUAUUCCCCUUAGUUCCAUAUUCACCCUUUAUACCCAUAGGUUACAUAUAUUGUAUUUUUAAAUAAUUUUUUUAAAAGCUCAUAUUUUUGGAAAGUUUUCAUUUUAAGAGAAAUAUUGUAGAUUUGAGUUUGUGAUUUAGAAAUUAGAAUAACAAGAACAUUUGUGGAUAGAUGAUAAUUCUUUAAGAAUUUUUCAUCAAUAUAUUGUAUUUUUAAAUAAUUUUCUUAAAAGCUGCUAUUUUGGGAAAAUUUUCAUUUUUUUUAGAAAUACUGUAGAUUUGAGUUUUUGAUUUAGAAAUUAGGAUAACAAGAAUAUUUGUAGAUAGAUAAGUAUUCUUUCAUUAUUUUUCAUCAAUAUAUUGUAUUUUUAAAUAAUUUUCUUAAAAGCUGCUAUUUUUGGAAAGUUUUCAUUUUUUUUUAGAAAUACUGUAUAUUUGAGUUUGUGAUUUAGAUAUUAGGAUAACAAGAAUAUUUGUGGAUAGAUGAAUAUUCUUUCAGAAUUUUCAUCAAGAUGUUGUAUUAUUAAAUGAUUUUCUGAAAAGCUGUUAUUUUUGGAAAGUAUUCAUUUUUUAGAGAAAUAUUGUGGAUAUAGGUUUGUAAUUUAGAAAUUAGGACAACAAGAAUAUUUCUGAAAAGCUGUUAAUCAAUAUAUUGUAUUUUAAAUAAUUUUCUUAAAAUAUGCUAUUUUUUUAUUGUUUUCAUUUUUUAAAAAGAUAUUUUAUAGAUUUAAGUUUGUGAUUUAGAAAUUAGGAUAACAAGAAUAUUUGUGGAUAGUUGAGUAUUCUUUCAGAGUUUUCCAUCAAUAGGUUGUAUUUUUAAAAUUUUUCUUAAAAACUACUAUUUUUGGAAAGUUUUCAUUUAUUAGAAAAAUACUGUAGAUUUGAGUUUAUGAUUUAAAAAUUAUGAUAACAAGAAUAUUUGCAAAUAGCUGAUUAUUUUUUUUCAGAGUUUUUCAUUAAUAGGUUGUAUUUUAAAAUAAUUUUCUUAAAAACGAGUAUUUUUGGAAAGUUUUCAUUUUUUUGAGAAAUACUGUAGAUUUGGGUUUCUCAUUUAGAAAUUAGGAUAACAAGAAUAUUUGUGUAUAGAUGAGUUUUCUUUAAGAAUUUUUCAUUAAUAUGUUGUAUUUUAAAAUUAUUUUCUUAAAAGCUGCUAUUUUUGGAAAGUUUUCAGCUUUUUAGAGAAAUAAUGUAGAUUUGAGUUUGUGAUUUAGAAAUUAGGAUAAAAGGAAUAUUUGUGGAUAGAUGAGUAUUUUUUAAGAAAUUUUCAUCCAUAUAUUGUAUUUUUAAAUAAUUUUCUUAAAUGCUGCUAUUUUUGGAAAGUUUUCAUUUAUUAGAAAAAUACUGUAGAUUUGAGUUUGUGAUUUAGAAAUUAGGAUAAAAGGAAUAUUUGUGGAUAGAUGAGUAUUUUUUAAGAAAUUUUCAUCCAUAUAUUGUAUUUUUAAAUAAUUUUCUUAAAUGCUGCUAUUUUUGGAAAGUUUUCAUUUAUUAGAAAAAUACUGUAGAUUUGAGUUUGUGAUUUAGAAAUUAGGAUAAAAGGAAUAUUUGUGGAUAGAUGAGUAUUUUUUAAGAAAUUUUCAUCCAUAUAUUGUAUUUUUAAAUAAUUUUCUUAAAUGCUGCUAUUUUUGGAAAGUUUUCAUUUAUUAGAAAAAUACUGUAGAUUUGAGUUUGUGAUUUAGAAAUUAGGAUAAAAGGAAUAUUUGUGGAUAGAUGAGUAUUUUUUAAGAAAUUUUCAUCCAUAUAUUGUAUUUUUAAAUCAUUUUCUUAAAUGCUGCUAUUUUUGGAAAGUUUUUUUUUUUUUGAGAAAUACGGUAAAUUUGAGUUUCUAAAUUAGAAAUUAGGAUAACAAGAAUAUUUUUGGAUAGAUGAGUAUUCUUUUUGAGUUUUUCAUCAAUACAUUGUAUUUUUAAAUAAUUUUCUUAAAAACUGCUAUUUUUGGAAAGUUUUUUUUUUUUUGAGAAAUACGGUAAAUUUGAGUUUCUAAAUUAGAAAUUAGGAUAACAAGAAUAUUUUUGGAUAGAUGAGUAUUCUUUUUGAGUUUUUCAUCAAUACAUUGUAUUUUUAAAUAAUUUUCUUAAAAACUACUAUUUUUGGAAAGUUUUCAUUUUUUUUGAAAAAUUACUGUAGAUUAGGGUUUGUGAUUUAGAAAUUAGGAUAACAAGAAUAUUUGUGGAUAGAUGAAUAUUAUUUAUGAGUUUUGCAUCAAUAGAUUGUAUUUUUAAAUAAAUUUUUU
Molecule: long non-coding RNA, 8295 nt
Filed under: Brassica napus (rape)
Lineage: Eukaryota; Viridiplantae; Streptophyta; Magnoliopsida; Brassicales; Brassicaceae
Description: long non-coding RNA (BNAP_LNC012916)
Source: RNAcentral